UACAGAGGGUGCGAGCGUUGUCCGGAAUCACUGGGCGUAAAGGGCGCGUAGGCGGGCUGCCGCGUCCGGGGUGAAAUCCUCCGGCUCAACCGGGGAAGGGCCUCGGAUACGGGCGGCCUCGAGGGGGGUAGGGGCGUGCGGAACUGUGGGUGGAGCGGUGAAAUGCGUUGAGAUCCACAGGAACUCCGGUGGCGAAGGCGGCACGCUGGACCCCUACUGACGCUGAGGCGCGAAAGCCAGGGGAGCGAACGGG
This 253-nucleotide ribosomal RNA is filed under the name uncultured bacterium. RNAcentral describes it as "partial 16S ribosomal RNA". It matches the Rfam family "Bacterial small subunit ribosomal RNA", at positions 524 to 776 of the family's 1533-position model. The record is from RNAcentral.